CACACACACACACACACACACACACACACACACACACACACACACACACACACACACACACACACACACACACACACACACGAUUAGGAAUGUUCCCCCUAUUUACAUGGUUGUGUGUCAGAGGUGAGGGAUGAUAAGCAAGUGUUUGAGAAGAGGUGUCUGGUGUGAGAGGAGGACAUGCAGAUGCACUCCAAGUUCCUGGACUGAAAGGAGGAGUUGAAGGCAGAACAUGCCUCGUACCUGCGUAAGCACCCGGAGCUCGACUUAUUGCAGUUGCUGUUACUACUGAAACUGAGCGGCGUCUUCAUCUUUGUCUGACUUUACCCUCUUCCCCUCCCUUCGGGGGGACCUUCAACACCUCCUCACCUUGAGGACACAUACUGUGGCUGCGUCUCAAUAGUCUAGUAGCUUCCUCUCACAGUCACUUUAGUGAGGACAAUACUGUUCUGGUUAGCACUUGACGCUAGUAUGUACAAAGACCCUUGAUCAUCAAUGCUUUUAUGGAUGUUUUGUAUUUUAUUUUGUGAUACUUGUGAUACUGUUCUACUGUUUUUGCUUGUAUUAGCUGCGCAAAAAAAUUAUGAUCAACUCUAUUGAGUUGAGAGUUACAGUUAUGUCAGUUGGUGUGACUAAAAUGCAAUUUCUUAUUUUAGGUAUUGUAUAUUUUCCAUGCUUUAUUUCUGUUAGGAACUUUAUCCUCAAGUGUGAUAAUUUAUCCCUGACUGCUACUUUGCUUUGGCUCUGAUGUGAUCACCUUUGACAAUUUAAGUUAUAAAUUGAGGUAAUGCUAGGUCUGUAUGAUCUGGUUUCUGAAUGGAAUACUGCUGUCAAUUGGCCAUUACAAAAUUAGACAGGACAUCAUGGUUUUGGUGUCCUUUAAACUUUAACCACUAGUUCUGAUUUAACCACAAAAGAUUGAAGGCCAUGGGCUUAUCUUGGUGGAAAGCAGAAAAUGUUGCCAAGGACCAUCAGGCAUGGCAAGUGCUUGUUGUUGUUGCAUUAUGCCCCACAGGAAGCAAAGUACUGUACUUGCUAUAGUUCUUGUCUCCAAUGCUGAUAAACCUGUGUGUAACACAUGUGCUGUUGGAUGUGCAAGGACUAUCAGCUAAAUUAAACGCAAAUUACAAAAGA
Long non-coding RNA from Oncorhynchus keta (chum salmon), 1131 nucleotides. RefSeq lists it as uncharacterized. NCBI's taxonomy places the organism in Eukaryota, Metazoa, Chordata, Actinopteri, Salmoniformes, Salmonidae. The record is from RefSeq and is a predicted model, not a curated record. The transcript is spliced from 2 exons.